Molecule: ribosomal RNA, 253 nt
Filed under: uncultured bacterium
Lineage: Bacteria
Description: partial 16S ribosomal RNA
Rfam family: Bacterial small subunit ribosomal RNA
Source: RNAcentral
UACAUAGGGUGCAAGCGUUGUCCGGAAUUAUUGGGCGUAAAGAGCUCGUAGGUCGUUUGUUACGUCGGAUGUGAAAACCUGAGGCUCAACCUCAGGCCUGCAUUCGAUACGGGCAAACUAGAGUUUGGUAGGGGAGACUGGAAUUCCUGGUGUAGCGGUGGAAUGCGCAGAUAUCAGGAGGAACACCGAUGGCGAAGGCAGGUCUCUGGGCCAAUACUGACACUGAGGAGCGAAAGUCUGGGGAGCGAACAGG